This 253-nucleotide ribosomal RNA is filed under the name uncultured bacterium. RNAcentral describes it as "partial 16S ribosomal RNA". It matches the Rfam family "Bacterial small subunit ribosomal RNA", at positions 524 to 776 of the family's 1533-position model. The record is from RNAcentral.
UACGAAGGGGGCUAGCGUUGUUCGGAAUUACUGGGCGUAAAGCGCGCGCAGGCGGCUAUCCAAGUCAGUGGUGAAAGCCCGGAGCUCAACUCCGGAACUGCCAUUGAAACUGUUUAGCUUGAGGAUGAGAGAGGUGAGUGGAAUUCCCAGUGUAGAGGUGAAAUUCGUAGAUAUCGUGAGGAACACCAGAGGCGAAGGCGGCUACCUGGACAAUUGCUGACGCUCAGGCACGAAAGCGUGGGGAGCAAAAGGG